This 1150-nucleotide long non-coding RNA is filed under the name Anas platyrhynchos platyrhynchos (common mallard). RNAcentral describes it as "lncRNA (ENSAPLG00000030746.1)". The record is from RNAcentral. Lineage: Eukaryota; Metazoa; Chordata; Aves; Anseriformes; Anatidae.
AUGCUGUCAGUCUGCAUUCAACUGAAGAUUCGCACAAGAUUCAUGCAAAGACUUUGGAUAGCACCUUUAAUAUUGAAUGUGAGAAACUACUGUUGCUCUUGUGUUUUGUUGGCAUGCAGUCUUAUUGCAUAUAUACUAUUAUGUCAUACAAUAUAUGCACAAAGAAUAAAAAUUAACAUAUUUUUGGCUGUUUCUCAUAAAUGUUCAAUUUGCACUUCGAGUAUGAACAUUGGUUUCAAAAAUAUUUUGGAUGUAAUUUAUAUUUGAAUAAGCCAAUGUUUAAAGAUUGCUUAAGAUCUGCCAUGUUCUUCCUUCACCAUUUUUUUUCUGUAAAUGGAAUGUUUCAAUACUGGAAAAUUACAGAAAGAAUAUGGACAAAAAUUAUGAACAAGAUCUGUUCAUAAUCCAUAUGACAUAAAAGAAACACUUCCCAGAAAUCUGAAAUGUAAAAAAAUGCUUUGAAGUUUAUCCUCAAUAUCAACUGGAAAUACAAAAAUAUUUUGUGACUUACUGGAGUGAAAAGCAGACUGUAAUGUUUAAAAUGAGUUUACUGUUGACUGCACCUUGCAUCAGCACUGCAAUAGAAAGAUCUGAACAACUCACAAAUGGUGAUUUGCAACAUUAACAGAGAUUCAAAAACUCACCAAACCAAAAUUCAGCAUGUCAGUUGUACGAUUAAUGUCUGUAAAAUUCACACUUACAUGACAAUCCUAAAAGAUGUUUACUAAAGCUCUUUACAUUUCAAAGAGUGGACAAGUAAAACUCAGUGUAAAUCCCACAUGCUGAUGAUGUUUGUAAUGUCAUGCUCUGAACUGAUAAACUGACCCUGCAUUUAUGUAAUAGGGUAGAUAGGACAUUUAUAGAAGGUCCUUUCCAGCACUGCUUUCUAUGCUUUCCCUCCUUUCUAUGAAGAGGGAAAAUUGGUGCCUUGUUUUUAAUCCAGCUUCCAAGGCCAUUUAGGCACCAAAUCAUGGAAUGACCCUUGGAGAAGGAACUUGGUCUGAGAGCAUUGCUUUAUGGCAUGCAAAGGGGGAAAGAAGCUAAGAAGUGGCAGUACUGACUGACUGGAACAAACUACUUCACCUCAAAAAUCUUUGAAGAUUACACAUCACUUCAAGUUUUCACGUCAAAAUAUACUUCCUUUUUCAAA